CCUACGGGUGGCUGCAGUGGGGAAUAUUGGACAAUGGGCGAAAGCCUGAUCCAGCCAUGCCGCGUGUGUGAAGAAGACCUUCGGGUUGUAAAGCACUUUCAGUGGGGAAGAAAGCCUUGGGGCUAAUACCCUCGAGGAAGGACAUCACCCACAGAAGAAGCACCGGCUAACUCCGUGCCAGCAGCCGCGGUAAUACGGAGGGUGCGAGCGUUAAUCGGAAUUACUGGGCGUAAAGCGCGCGUAGGCGGUCUGAUAAGCCGGUUGUGAAAGCCCCGGGCUCAACCUGGGAACGGCAUCCGGAACUGUCAGGCUAGAGUGCAGGAGAGGAAGGUAGAAUUCCCGGUGUAGCGGUGAAAUGCGUAGAGAUCGGGAGGAAUACCAGUGGCGAAGGCGGCCUUCUGGACUGACACUGACGCUGAGGUGCGAAAGCGUGGGUAGCAAACAGGAUUAGAUACCCGGGUAGUC
RNAcentral lists this ribosomal RNA (465 nucleotides) under Vreelandella stevensii. Its description in RNAcentral is "partial 16S ribosomal RNA". It matches the Rfam family "Bacterial small subunit ribosomal RNA", at positions 338 to 795 of the family's 1533-position model. Lineage: Bacteria; Pseudomonadati; Pseudomonadota; Gammaproteobacteria; Oceanospirillales; Halomonadaceae. The record is from RNAcentral.